Molecule: ribosomal RNA, 460 nt
Filed under: uncultured bacterium
Lineage: Bacteria
Description: partial 16S ribosomal RNA
Rfam family: Bacterial small subunit ribosomal RNA
Source: RNAcentral
CCUACGGGUGGCUGCAGUGAGGAAUAUUGGUCAAUGGGCGCGAGCCUGAACCAGCCAAGUAGCGUGAAGGAUGACUGCCCUUCGUAUUGUAAACUUCUUUUAUCAAGGAAUAAAGUGAGGCACGCGUCCCUUUUUGUAUGUACUUUAUGAAUAAGGAUCGGCUAACUCCGUGCCAGCAGCCGCGGUAAUACGGAGGAUACGAGCGUUAUCCGGAUUUAUUGGGUUUAAAGGGAGCGUAGAGGGGUUGUUAAGUCAGUUGUGAAAGUUUGGGGCUCAACCGUAAAAUUGCAAUUGAUACUGGCAGCCUUGAGUACAGUUGAGGUAGGCGGAAUUCGUGGUGUAGCGGUGAAAUGCUUAGAUAUCACGAAGAACUCCGAUUGCGAAGGCAGCUUACUAACCUGACACUGACGUUGAUGCUCGAAAGUGUGGGUAUCAAACAGGAUUAGAUACCCUAGUAGUC